UACGAAGGGGGCUAGCGUUGUUCGGAAUUACUGGGCAUAAAGCGCACGUAGGCGGAUAUUUAAGUCAGGGGUGAAAUCCCAGAGCUCAACUCUGGAACUGCCUUUGAUACUGGGUAUCUUGAGUAUGGAAGAGGUAAGUGGAAUUCCGAGUGUAGAGGUGAAAUUCGUAGAUAUUCGGAGGAACACCAGUGGCGAAGGCGGCUUACUGGUCCAGAUCUGACGCUGAGGUGCGAAAGCGUGGGGAGCAAACAGG
RNAcentral lists this ribosomal RNA (253 nucleotides) under uncultured bacterium. Its description in RNAcentral is "partial 16S ribosomal RNA". It matches the Rfam family "Bacterial small subunit ribosomal RNA", at positions 524 to 776 of the family's 1533-position model. The record is from RNAcentral.